Molecule: non-coding RNA, 110 nt
Filed under: Idiomarina sp.
Lineage: Bacteria; Pseudomonadati; Pseudomonadota; Gammaproteobacteria; Alteromonadales; Idiomarinaceae
Description: c-di-GMP sequence
Rfam family: c-di-GMP-I riboswitch aptamer
About the family: GEMM was predicted in a large-scale screen for bacterial structured RNA regulatory elements.
Source: RNAcentral
UGCUUUAAAAGGCAAAACCACUGGAAAGUGGUGACGCAAAACCUCCGGUCCUAGCGGUGUCUAUUUCAGAUUUUUCUGAAAUUGUGCUGGCGGAUAGCGGGGCUGCAAGC